Molecule: long non-coding RNA, 1417 nt
Organism: Xiphophorus couchianus (Monterrey platyfish)
Lineage: Eukaryota; Metazoa; Chordata; Actinopteri; Cyprinodontiformes; Poeciliidae
Exons: 2
Source: RefSeq, a predicted model, not a curated record
AGGAUGCUAUAUAACAAGCCCAGAUCAGUUAGGCUGCAGCUUCAGAGACUUUCCACCACUGAAGAUCUUCUGCAGUCCGUGCCAAGUCUACCAACAGAGUCAGCUGAAAGGGAAAAAUAGCAUCAGUAAUCAUGAAGAUCCAGGUUGCCGGCUUCCUGCUGAUGCUGAUCUCUGCUGUCGAGCUCUCCGAAGGGCAGCAUCCGAUUGAGAAGAACGUCAUCGGCAACAUGAACAAAGGGCAAUGUAACGAUGUCAUGAACGAAAGAUUCAAUAGUGAAGGGGGUUGCAAGCAUGCAGAAACCUUCAUUGUAGCGUCUCGCCAAGAUGUGAAUGCUCUCUGUCAAAAGGUGAACGGGAUCAUGCCAGGUUUUAGCAAGGAAAUAUUUAAAGUUGUUGACUGUACGAAAGUUAAAGAUUGUGUCUAUAAUGGUGAUGACAGACAUACAAAAACUCAACUUAAACUUGAAUGUAAAGAUAAUCAAGCUGUGCGCUAUGUAGGCGCUAACAGGCUGAAUUAAAAAAAAGAUGCAUUGCUUAUUUCCUGCCAUUAAUUUAAAAAAAAUGAAGCUAAUGUUUUUCCUGGUUCAAUGUUAAUCUAAUUCUGUAUACAUUAUCCUAAAUAUACAGUAACAUUUUUAUCUGAACUUCCAGAUAGCUUCUACUGCAGCAGCUUAUUAAUGUUACCAUCUUAUGUUUUGGCUUCUUCAAUGUUACCGUUUUAUCCCAAAUAAACCUACUGCAUGAUCUGAAAGACUUAAAAAGUGUUUAUUUCUUACUAAAAGCCUUUUUGUUCCAGUUUAACAAAGAAAAUGCACCACUAACUUAAAUACUAAUGAAAUGGAUUUGAUGGACAAUGAAAAAGGAUUUGGGAAAAGAAAAUGUUGAUAAAGUCUCCAAAACUGGAAACAGACACAUCUUGCAGAACCUGUGUAGAGUUUUUGUUGAAAUAUAAUUCGUAUGAUCAAAUACAUGGUUUGCUAUUCAAAUCCACUUUGUGACAAUACAGAUCAUUUUAGAGGAAAUACAAGGCGCUGGAUGACUCACAAGCAACAGAGAAGCAGGAUGCAGGACUCAGUUAAACUUUUAAAUAACUGAACAGAAAUACUUACAGAUUAGAACGAAUCAGGAAAUUAAAUACUUAAAAGAGGGAAUGAAGACAAGAAGCUGAAGGAGGGUUGAUUACAAAACAGAAUCUGGUGUGACACUGAAAAAGGAAAGCAGCACCAUCAAAAUAAAACAGGAAACAAGAGCUUAGAGACAAAAAUGGAAAUGAGAGCAUUAGCCCAAAAUGAAAACAUGAGAAAACAAAACGAAGAUUUUGAAAAACAGCGUCACUUUAUUUUUGCUUGUUUGUCAGCCCAUUACACCCAUUGAGUAAAUAUGAAUGCAGGAGCGCCCUCUGCUGUUUGACAAAGAU